GAGUUUGAUCAUGGCUCAGAUUGAACGCUGGCGGCAUGCCUUACACAUGCAAGUCGAACGGCAGCACGGGAGCUUGCUCCUGGUGGCGAGUGGCGAACGGGUGAGUAAUGCAUCGGAACGUAUCCUGGAGUGGGGGAUAACGUAGCGAAAGUUACGCUAAUACCGCAUAUUCUGUGAGCAGGAAAGCGGGGGACCUUCGGGCCUCGCGCUCUUGGAGCGGCCGAUGUCGGAUUAGCUAGUUGGUGAGGUAAAGGCUCACCAAGGCGACGAUCCGUAGCAGGUCUGGGAGGAUGAUCUGCCACACUGGAACUGAGACACGGUCCAGACUCCUACGGGAGGCAGCAGUGGGGAAUUUUGGACAAUGGGGGCAACCCUGAUCCAGCCAUGCCGCGUGAGUGAAGAAGGCCUCGG
Molecule: ribosomal RNA, 411 nt
Filed under: bacterium enrichment culture clone ALO1_GLFRUDD03FRUV9
Lineage: Bacteria
Description: bacterial SSU rRNA
Rfam family: Bacterial small subunit ribosomal RNA
Source: RNAcentral